Dipodomys ordii (Ord's kangaroo rat) is the source of this 65-nucleotide non-coding RNA. Lineage: Eukaryota; Metazoa; Chordata; Mammalia; Rodentia; Heteromyidae. The record is from Rfam.
GGUGGCUCAGUGGUAGAGCGUUUGCUUUGCAUGCUCAAGGCCCUGGGUUCGAUUCCUCAGCACCA